Molecule: long non-coding RNA, 215 nt
Filed under: Malus domestica (apple)
Lineage: Eukaryota; Viridiplantae; Streptophyta; Magnoliopsida; Rosales; Rosaceae
Description: long non-coding RNA (MDOM_LNC005914)
Source: RNAcentral
ACCUAUCCCGAGGUCUUUAACGAACUUAUUCGUUUGAUUAAUUAACAUAUUAAUCAAUCCUUGCCAUAAAUAAAUGAUUAAACCAUUUAAUCAUUCUUACUCAUCUCCGUUUACUCUCCAAUCUCCACCUCUUAUGGUGUGCGAUCCAUUAGGUUCCUUUUAGCAAGGCAGUGGGCGAUUAAAACCAUUUCAAAUCGAUUGUGAAUUGAAACUUA